This 500-nucleotide ribosomal RNA is filed under the name uncultured bacterium. Its description in RNAcentral is "partial 16S ribosomal RNA". It matches the Rfam family "Bacterial small subunit ribosomal RNA", at positions 30 to 523 of the family's 1533-position model. The record is from RNAcentral.
AUUGAACGCUGGCGGAAUGCUUUACACAUGCAAGUCGAACGGCAGCACGGACUUCGGUCUGGUGGCGAGUGGCGAACGGGUGAGUAAUGUAUCGGAAGGUGCCCAGUCGUGGGGGAUAACGUAGUGAAAAUUACGCUAAUACCGCAUACGAUCUAUGGAUGAAAGCGGGGGAUCGCAAGACCUCGCGCGAUUGGAGCGGCCGAUAUCAGAUUAGGUAGUUGGUGGGGUAAAGGGCCACCAAGCCAACGAUCUGUAGCUGGUCUGAGCGGACGACCAGCCACACUGGAACGGAGACACGGUCCAGACUCCUACGGGAGGCAGCAGUGGGGAAUUUUGGACAAUGGGCGAAAGCCUGAUCCAGCCAUUCCGCGUGCAGGAUGAAGGCCCUCGGGUUGUAAACUGCUUUUGUACAGAACGAAAAGGUUUCUACUAAUACUAGGAGCUCAUGACGGUACUGUAAGAAUAAGCACCGGCUAACUACGUGCCAGCCGCCGCCGUAA